AAGGCAGGAAAUGAGGCUGAUAACCGGUAUGUACCCAUUUGUUUGCAGCGCAUGCCCAGACACCGUUCAGGUUUCGCUGUUUGCAGGCUGCUGACUCCUUCAGGCCUGAAACUCUGCAAACCACUUUUCUGUUUUGCCAGCCGGCUCUCUGUUAGGCCCUGCCAACUGCAGGUGCUGGAGGAAGAUGCAAGGCCUGCGGAGGAAGGAUUCGCUCCCCCAACCUGCUUCCUCUUUCGGAGCAUGUCAUCCCAGGAGCAGCAGCAAUUCCUCUGGUAGCAGCAAUUGCAUCUAGAGCUUAACAACAACAACUCAAGAACUAUGGAGCAGAAAAUGAAAAACAAAAUAAAACAAAAAUCACAUCAAGGCAGAAGUGGACAUGUGAGAACCUAGAUUUUACGAAAUAUCAGGAGCUGCCACUGUCUCAAAUUGGGAACUGAACCCUCAACCGUCCACCAUUGGUCUGAGACUUAUUAUGAAGAUGGGCCAUUCUCUACUUCCCCUACCCUCAAAG
Molecule: long non-coding RNA, 511 nt
Organism: Eptesicus fuscus (big brown bat)
Lineage: Eukaryota; Metazoa; Chordata; Mammalia; Chiroptera; Vespertilionidae
Exons: 4
Source: RefSeq, a predicted model, not a curated record